UACAGAGGGUGCGAGCGUUAAUCGGAAUUACUGGGCGUAAAGCGCACGUAGUCGGCUUUGCAAGUCGGUUGUGAAAUCCCCGGGCUCGACCUGGGAACUGCAUCCGAGACUGCAUUGCUAGAGUAUGGGAGAGGAAAGCGGAAUUUCUGGUGUAGCAGUGAAAUGCGUAGAUAUCAGAAGGAACAUCAGUGGCGAAGGCGGCUUUCUGGACCAAUACUGACGAUCAGGUGCGAAAGCGUGGGGAGCAAACAGG
RNAcentral lists this ribosomal RNA (253 nucleotides) under uncultured bacterium. RNAcentral describes it as "partial 16S ribosomal RNA". It matches the Rfam family "Bacterial small subunit ribosomal RNA", at positions 524 to 776 of the family's 1533-position model. The record is from RNAcentral.